This 466-nucleotide ribosomal RNA is filed under the name uncultured bacterium. RNAcentral's name for it is "partial 16S ribosomal RNA". It matches the Rfam family "Bacterial small subunit ribosomal RNA", at positions 28 to 507 of the family's 1533-position model. The record is from RNAcentral.
GACGAACGCUGGCGGCGCGCCUAACACAUGCAAGUCGAACGAGCGAGAGAGAGCUUGCUUUCUCAAGCGAGUGGCGAACGGGUGAGUAACGCGUGAGGAACCUGCCUCAAAGAGGGGGACAACAGUUGGAAACGACUGCUAAUACCGCAUAAGCCCACGACCCGGCAUCGGGCAGAGGGAAAAGGAGCAAUCCGCUUUGAGAUGGCCUCGCGUCCGAUUAGCUAGUUGGUGAGGUAACGGCCCACCAAGGCGACGAUCGGUAGCCGGACUGAGAGGUUGAACGGCCACAUUGGGACUGAGACACGGCCCAGACUCCUACGGGAGGGAGCAGUGGGGAAUAUUGCAAAAUGGGGGAAACCCUGAUGCAGCGACGCCGCGUGGAGGAAGAAGGUCUUCGGAUUGUAAACUCCUGUUGUUGAGGAAGAUAAUGACGGUACUCAACAAGGAAGUGACGGCUAACUACGUG